This 253-nucleotide ribosomal RNA is filed under the name uncultured bacterium. RNAcentral describes it as "partial 16S ribosomal RNA". It matches the Rfam family "Bacterial small subunit ribosomal RNA", at positions 524 to 776 of the family's 1533-position model. The record is from RNAcentral.
UACGGAGGGAGCUAGCGUUGUUCGGAAUUACUGGGCGUAAAGCGCACGUAGGCGGCUACUCAAGUCAGAGGUGAAAGCCCAGGGCUCAACCUUGGAACUGCCUUUGAAACUAGGUAGCUAGAAUUCUGGAGAGGUCAGUGGAAUUCCGAGUGUAGAGGUGAAAUUCGUAGAUAUUCGGAAGAACACCAGUGGCGAAGGCGACUGCCUGGACAAAGACUGACGCUGAGGUGCGAAAGCGUGGGGAGCAAACAGG